CAUAAUGCAUCAAUGCAUCUGAAUUUGGAGAUGGAUUUGGAUAUUCUUGUGAUUGUUCUGGGAGAUUAUUGGAAUUGGGUCAUCCUCUCCAAUCAAGUAAAUUGCUGUCAUGUCUCGUCUAUCACAAAUCGUAUUUCAACUUGAACACGAAAGCUAGCAAACUUCUUCUAUAAAUAGCCCUAAUCACGCUUUUCGAUAAGCACAAACACAGAGAGAUUGGCUAACUAAUACGCUAAAGCAUGGCCAAGACUCUAAAGUCUCUUCCCUUUUUCGCACUACUCUUCAUCCUCAUCCUCGUUGCCAACUGGGAGAUGAUGCCGGUGGAAGCAAAACUUUGUGAGAGGGCAAGUCAAACAUGGUCAGGGAAAUGCGGGAACACGGCGCACUGCGACAACCAGUGUCAGAAAUGGGAGGAUGCUAGGCAUGGAGCUUGUCAUGUAAGAGACGGGAAAUGGAAAUGCUUCUGCUACUUCAAUUGUCCUCUCAAUAAACACAAUUAAUUGAUGCCCUUAUGAUUUCACAUCGCCCUUAACUUCUUGAUUAUGGUAAGUGUCUUAUAUUACUGCACCAUGCUAAAAUAAGAAGCAGCUAGCUUGCUUGCUAGCAGCUUUUGUUUCUAAUUGUAGUAAAUAAUAAAUUAACUGUUUCUCUGUUGAAACAUGGGCUAGUGUUGUUGCCGAUCCAAUAUUGUUCAUCAUCGAAGUGUUGUAAUAUGAUACAAAUAUUACCCUCUACGUCUUUGCUGUAGUACUCAUCACUCCUCUUUGAACCCAUUGAAUUACAUAAUCAUCGGUCAUUUUAUUGAUAAAUUAAUCUGAUCUCAACACCCAUUGAUGUGGACAAUUUAUCACAUUAAAUAUCAUGAAAUUUUACAGACAUGAGUGUAAGAUUUAUUUACAUAAACUUGAAUAAAUAAAUAAAUCAAUGAUAAUCCACAUGAUUUAUUCACAAGUUAUAAAAUAUUAAAUUAAAUAAUUUAGGGUUGUAAAAAUACUUGAAUCAUACCAUCUGAAUUUAUAAAGCUUUUGAAAUUUUCUAUCUAGAUUUUCUCUUGAUGUGUUUUGGUCUUAUAUUCCAAAAACUUUCUUGAAUGAGAAUUUUUAUUGUAUUAGUUUUUGGAGUAAAGAUUUAGUCAAAUUAUAAUAGGUUAAUUGACCCUCAUAAAGGUUUAAUAAAUCUUACCUCCACCUAAAUUAUAAUCUUUAAAUAUAUUAAACUUAUUUUUAUUGAUUAUUUAAAUUCAUUUAUAAAUUAAUAUUAAACUAUUUAAUUAUUUAGUUUUAUUAAAUCAAAACUAUAAUUAAUAUUAUCUCAUAUAAAAGAAUUUCUAACAAUGAGAACUCCACGAAGAAGAAGACAAUGGUAACAAAUAGUUGAGAACUUCUAUGUCCUGCUUAGAGCUCAAUCAGAGUUGUAAACGGAGGAGGGUUGAAGAUAAUCAUCGUUUUGCAAUUAGCACCAGCUGCUAUAUGGAUAUCGAAUCAUGUUGACAUUUCAUGUACAUGACUUAUUCAUUUUGCAUCGAUUAACCUUUUAAUCAUCAGGAAAUCCAUUAAUUAUAGUUAGUAUUCAUUGUCAAUUAAUGCAACCAUACUGCAAAUUUAUUGGUGGAGCUUCAUUUUGAAGAGGAAAAUAUAUUAAAUGGCAUGUAGUUUGCCUUUUUCUAAACCUGUGGGCCGGCAAUCUCAAUAGAACUUAAUUUCAAUCAGAUUUUUGGAGAUAUUUCAAGAGCACAUUAUAAAAUAAUCAUGGUGUUCCUGCUACUGUAGAAUGUGGAGCCCGAAGUCAACAAUUCAAGACAAUUGGCUGUCAUAUUUGACGUCUAUCAGUUUUUGUUACUUCCUUUCACCAACCUUAUCACCCUACCUUAAUACUUUUAAGUUUAGCAAGAACGAGAGCAAUUUUUGCUAUAAAUAGCCCUAACCACCUCCCUAUUUAGCACAAAAAGAUAAAGAGAUCACUGCCCAGUUAACAAGCAAAAUUAAGCAUGCCCAAGACUGUCCAGUUUUUUAUACUCUUCUUCGCGUAUCACCCACAGAUGUGUUUAGAAUAUAAAUUACUUUUGGUACUGUUCCAUCAAUUAUUAUCAUAAUUCUAUUUAAAAUAGUCACGAUCUACCCGAUGAUCAGUAUUAUAGUUAUUUGUUAUUAUCCUAGAGAGAGCAGUCAACAGAAUCAGAAAUGGAGCCAUCUGGAAGGGAUUCCUACGAUGGAAAAGUGUGGUUUCGACUUCAAACUUUUCGGCUAGGAUAAUAUUGAGAGAUGAGAUGGUGGCUAUGCAUAGACAAUUCAGCUUAGAUCAAGGUAUGAGAGAACUCUCUAAUAGUUAUAUAUAUAUAUAUAUAUAUAUAUAUAUAUAUAUAUAUAUAAUGUUAUUCAUUGUUUAUUUUUGAGAUUAUUGACACUCAUUGGGGGAUAUGAAUGUUGCUUUAUGUAUAUAACACUUUGGGUAUUGAUUGUGCAUGACUUCAUUAUUAAAGGCAUUUUGGUCAUUUUAAUUAAAUAUAAAUAUUAAUUAUCUUUCUAUUUUGUUUAUGCUCUAAAUGAGUAACACUUUCCUAUGGAGGGUAAGAUUGUUGGAGUGGGGUGUUAUACUCAUCCUCAUCCUUUUUGCAAACUGAGUCAGUUGUUUUGGAGGCACUAAAAUUAACCUUAUGUUACCAUCAAUUCUAAUAAAAACAAUGAGAAUCUUUGGGCAAAAAAUUAUUUGCAUUAAAACUGAAGAAUGCAUCAUUGUUGAAGAAAAAAUUUUAUAAGUUUUAAUAAUGUAUCAUUUUGAUGAUUACAUUUUAAAAGCUCGUAAAAUUGUUUCAAUGGUAUUGUUGUAAUUGAGAUGUCUUGAAAUAUAACACUUUAUUAUCUUUGACAAUAUGUAUUCAAAAAAUUAUUGUAUUUAAUUCAAUGAACAAUAAUUUUAUCUUAA
RNA transcript from Mangifera indica (mango), 2922 nucleotides. It is a transcript of the gene named defensin-like protein 1, with no coding region annotated. The record is from RefSeq and is a predicted model, not a curated record. Lineage: Eukaryota; Viridiplantae; Streptophyta; Magnoliopsida; Sapindales; Anacardiaceae. The transcript has 3 exons.